AUGAGUGUAGCUCAUCUUUUAGGCAAACCACCUACACACCCUCUUCACAUUCAGGCAGGCGAGGCUUCAGACGCCUGUACUGACUGUUGCUGGGGACUUCCCUUCCUCCUGCUUCGCCGGUACGGGGAAACACCACUUCACACAGCACUCGGGCAGGAAGGACGACCUCUCCAGCCGGGACAGGAAGAUGAGUGGCUGGGUGCUGCUGCUGAUGUUGAGGAAUGCGAACCCCACGGGCUGCACGUAGCAGCGGAACACGUCGGGCGCGUAGGCGUCCUCGAAGGGGAACAGGGCCACGGGCGGCAGGUAGUUGCACACGGUGAGCACCAGGAUGGCCAGCACCAUCUUGAAGGCCUUCUUCUUCAUGGGGUGCAUCGCGUCCUUGCCCGCGCCGCGGGACCUCUUCAGCGCCAGCAGGAUGGCGGCGUUGCACACGAUCAUCCACACGAACACAGCCAGGAUCUCCCCCGUGAACACCUUCUCAAAGUCGGGCAGGCCGCCCACCGUCUUGGCCGAGGCGUAGGCCAAGGUGAGGCCCAGCACCAGCAUGGAGAGGCUGAUGCGGUAGCGGGGGGCCCGGAGGGUGCCGAAGGCGAUGGGGAACAGCACGGCCACGAAGCGGUCCAAGCAGAUGCAGGACAGGAACAGGGGCCCGCUGGUGUCCUUGACGCCGUAGGAGAACUUGACGGACAGCCACACCUUGUAGCUCUCCCAGUGGUACAGGUUGAGGAUGUUGAUGGGCACCAUGGCGCCGUAGUAGAUGUCCAGGAAGGCCAGGCAGCCCAGGAACAGGUCGGAGGUGGAGGGCUCCUUGCGGUUGCGCAGGAGGACGGUGAUCACCAGUAUGUUGGCGGGGAUGCCCAUGACCACGUUGACGCACUGCACGAUCAGGUCGAACAGGAUGCCCUCGGCCAUGAGCUCGCAGCCUUCGAACGGGCUGAAGGGGGCGUGCGUGGCGUUGAGCGCCCCCGUGUGGUUGAGGGGGUAGGUGGGGGUAGUGGAGUUGGUCGUGUUGUACACAUAGUCCGCCAUGGUGCCUCUACAGGAGCAGGAGCCAAGUCAAACUCCACUGUCUCUAAUGGUGGGAGAGGAUAA
This 1095-nucleotide long non-coding RNA is filed under the name Gadus morhua (Atlantic cod). RNAcentral describes it as "lncRNA (ENSGMOG00000034057.1)". Lineage: Eukaryota; Metazoa; Chordata; Actinopteri; Gadiformes; Gadidae. The record is from RNAcentral.